AAAGGAGAAGCAAGAAAGCUGCACCUCAGAUGCCUGAGAGCAGAACUUUUGAAAGGGCUGGGAAAGCAACUGGAAGCUGAGGCUCCAGCACAGCGGGCUGGCGGCGAGACGGUGAGCUGGCUGCGUGCUCGGCAGCACAGAGCACGUGAUGUCCGCACGAGUUGUGUGAGAAGCCUGCAAUAAAGGAAAACCACAACAAAAGGAGAAGUGGAUCAAGUGAACAUACAGAACUUCUGGUACAUUCUUCUCAGAAAGGAAGGCAGGCACACAGCAUUACCUGGAACAGCAGUGACAGGAGGGUGAGCGAGUAACUGGGGGCCCAUGCUUUCUCCAGAACUCCAUCCUACAAGGCGAUGCCCGGCCGCAAGAGGGACAGCCACCGAACCUCACAUGUCCUGAACCGUUUUCAUGUACAGAGCAAAGAUGCACAGCUGCUGAGAAGAACCGCAGAGACAGAACAAAGGUUUGUGCAGUAACAUUGGAGCUUGACUAGUUCUCAGAGAGAAAU
Molecule: long non-coding RNA, 508 nt
Filed under: Fukomys damarensis (Damara mole-rat)
Lineage: Eukaryota; Metazoa; Chordata; Mammalia; Rodentia; Bathyergidae
Description: lncRNA (ENSFDAG00000021686.1)
Source: RNAcentral